GCCGGUGUAGCUCAGCGGUAGAGCAGCUGUUUCGUAAACAGCAGGUCGUCGGUUCGAAUCCGACCACCGGCU
RNAcentral lists this transfer RNA (72 nucleotides) under Thermomicrobium roseum DSM 5159. RNAcentral describes it as "tRNA-Thr (CGT) (tRNA-Thr-CGT-1-1)". It matches the Rfam family "tRNA". Rfam says of the family: Transfer RNA (tRNA) molecules are approximately 80 nucleotides in length. Lineage: Bacteria; Pseudomonadati; Thermomicrobiota; Thermomicrobia; Thermomicrobiales; Thermomicrobiaceae. The record is from RNAcentral. RNAcentral also lists the same sequence under 6 other names.